This 73-nucleotide transfer RNA is filed under the name Candidatus Eiseniibacteriota bacterium. RNAcentral's name for it is "tRNA-His". It matches the Rfam family "tRNA". Rfam says of the family: Transfer RNA (tRNA) molecules are approximately 80 nucleotides in length. Their secondary structure includes four short double-helical elements and three loops (D, anti-codon, and T loops). The record is from RNAcentral. Lineage: Bacteria; Candidatus Eiseniibacteriota.
GUGGAUGUAGCUCAGGCGGUAGAGCACUGGAUUGUGGUUCCAGUCGUCGGGGGUUCGAGUCCCCUCAUCCACC